UACGUAGGGGGCUAGCGUUGUCCGGAAUCACUGGGCGUAAAGAGCGUGUAGGCGGCCAGACAGGUCCGUUGUGAAAACUCGAGGCUCAACCUCGAGACGCCGAUGGAAACCGUCUGGCUAGAGUCCGGAAGAGGAGAGUGGAAUUCCUGGUGUAGCGGUGAAAUGCGCAGAUAUCAGGAAGAACACCCGUGGCUAAGGCGGCUCUCUAGUACGGUACUGACGCUGAGACGCGAAAGCGUGGGGAGCGAACAGG
This 253-nucleotide ribosomal RNA is filed under the name uncultured bacterium. Its description in RNAcentral is "partial 16S ribosomal RNA". It matches the Rfam family "Bacterial small subunit ribosomal RNA", at positions 524 to 776 of the family's 1533-position model. The record is from RNAcentral.